GGGUGAUUAGCUCAGUUGGGGAGAGCAUCGCCCUUACAAGGCGAGGGUCACUGGUUCAAGUCCAGUAUCACCCACCA
This 77-nucleotide transfer RNA is filed under the name Pseudoalteromonas prydzensis ACAM 620. Its description in RNAcentral is "tRNA-Val". It matches the Rfam family "tRNA". Rfam says of the family: Transfer RNA (tRNA) molecules are approximately 80 nucleotides in length. The record is from RNAcentral. Lineage: Bacteria; Pseudomonadati; Pseudomonadota; Gammaproteobacteria; Alteromonadales; Pseudoalteromonadaceae.